UCUUCCCUCUUGCUCAUCUCUCCUCUCUUUCCCGUACACAUCUCUCUCCCUCUCGUUCUCAAGCUUUCCUCUUCACAAUCUCGAAUCCAACCACCACCACAACUCUGUCGGUUGUCUUUCUCCCUCUCGUUCUAAACGACGGGCAGCGACGCGAAUCAAGUCCCAAAUUCAAGUGUCCCAGUGCAAUCCUUCAAAGUACUAGUCUGGUCGCUGUGGGGGAACAACUAGAGUUGGUGUUCUUAUUGGAGAUCAAACACCGCAGAGGUCGAUUCAUUGAAGGAGCAAGUGAUAACCCUAAAGGGUCAGCUUGAGGUCCAGGGCGAGCAGAUGAGGGAGCAAAUAAGGGCCCAGGGCGAGUAGCUGCAAGCCUAUGCUGGGCACAUGAGAGACCUUGUACAAGCCAUACAGAUGACUAGCCUCCAAAUCUCGCUACCAGUACCUGAUCUUGCUACACCUUCGACUUCCGAGCCACCUCACCCUGCUGAUACCCAGUAGCCACUUCACCUAGAAGACUACUUGUAGUUUUUUCUUUUUUAUUCGAACAUCUUGUAUAUACA
This is a long non-coding RNA of Malus domestica (apple), 557 nucleotides long. RefSeq lists it as uncharacterized. NCBI's taxonomy places the organism in Eukaryota, Viridiplantae, Streptophyta, Magnoliopsida, Rosales, Rosaceae. The record is from RefSeq and is a predicted model, not a curated record.